AGAGUUUGAUCCUGGCUCAGAGCGAACGCUGGCGGCAGGCCUAACACAUGCAAGUCGAGCGCCCCUCCUUCAGAGGACAGAGAUCGGAUGUCGGAUGACAGAACGCGUCUGAGCAUCCGGCGUCUGUCUUCUGAUGGAGGGGAGCGGCAGACGGGAGAGUAACACGUGGGAACGUACCCUUUGGUUCGGAACAACCCAGG
Molecule: ribosomal RNA, 200 nt
Filed under: uncultured bacterium
Lineage: Bacteria
Description: partial 16S ribosomal RNA
Rfam family: Bacterial small subunit ribosomal RNA
Source: RNAcentral